Molecule: non-coding RNA, 258 nt
Filed under: unclassified sequences
Description: raiA RNA
Rfam family: raiA RNA
Source: Rfam by way of RNAcentral
CGAACUCGGGUCUGUGGUUGAAAAUCGAUGCCAGCUGCGGGCAAAGCGAUCCACGUAAGCCGUUCAAAGAGCGGUGAUCAUGGGGCAGUUUAGAGGUAAGACCGGCCAGGCACUUGCUUUGUAGGAAAGACAAACUUCGGUUGCGCAUCCGUCAAAUGUAAGAUUCCUGAGAGGGGUAGUAGUGGGGAGGCAGAUAGCCUUAGGAGCGAACCCUCCAGCCGGCGGAUGUGGGGACAAAGACCAGGUCAGCCGAUGCUG